This 24611-nucleotide long non-coding RNA is filed under the name Lotus japonicus. RNAcentral's name for it is "long non-coding RNA (LJAP_LNC002195)". Lineage: Eukaryota; Viridiplantae; Streptophyta; Magnoliopsida; Fabales; Fabaceae. The record is from RNAcentral.
GCUUGAGAAGAUGGAAUUGCUGGAAAUGGGGUCUGAAACCCCCUCUGACACUGAUGAAGUAGAGAUCAAAAGGUUCAUGGCCACUUGCAUUUGUUUUGACCAAUUUCUGAGGUUGACCCAAGUUGAGAGCUAUGUAGAAAGCAAAGCAGAGACACACUUGGAUGAUAACAGUGCAUGCCCAAGAUGUUUUCUCCAUUUGGAUCACCUUGUAAUCCAAACAACAUACGAUGUAAGAACCAACAACCUAUUCGCUGAUUGAUGUUAGAUCUGAAUUAUGAUGACACUAGAAUUGUAUGAUCUAUAUUUGCCCACGUUGGACAUGUGAUUGCUGACAUUAAAUUUGAUUCCAUCCAUGUUAUCCAGUACUGCCUUGUCGCUUUGUUGGAAUAUCUUGACACAGUCUUUUACCUGAUUAGUGAUUACCAUAUAAGACUUAUUCUUGUGUCUGUGUUAUGUUCAUUGGAAGAGCAAUGAUAAAUGAUUGAGUGAAGCGGAACGAGAUUAUCGAAUGGAAUAGUUUUACCAAUAUAGUUUUAUUCACACCAUAAGACACGGACUUCACCUUGCAAUAAAUGAAGAAAAAUGAGAGAUACUAUGCGUGAUGAUAUGAUAGGAGUCAAGGUGAUUGAUAAGAAGAAAUAUAGAGUGAAUUUGAAAUGAAAGAGAAAGUGAAGUGUAAAUGAAUCAAAACUCACUUUAGUUAUAUUGUUGGGUGAAGUUUAAUGAUUUACAUGCUGUUAACAACCACCACAAAAUUCCUAACCUAUAUUAAUCAUGGAAGUGGGGAAAUAAGUUUAAUUUUUAUGCACUGAUAAUGUGAAGAGAAAAAAAAAGCUAGAAGAAGGCGUCUAUCAUGGAGAAGCUGACGGAAAAUCAAUUAAAGUAGUAUGAACAUAUACAAGGAAGACCUUUUGAGGCGCCAAUGAGAAUGGUUGAUAACAUGAUAUUUAGUCAUGGGAAGAGGUAGAGGGAGCCAAAAAAAACUUGGGAAUAACUAUAAAAAGUUAUCUCGUUUACAAUCCCUCAUAAUCAGGUUUUCAAUCGAGCUCAAUGAGAUAGAAUUAUUCAUAUAGCUGACCUCACUUAGUGGAAUAAUGUUUUUAUUGUCGUUAUCAGUGUAAAAACAAUUUACAUUGACACUCAGUCGUAAUAUGUUUGUUAUUUUCAAAAUUUUGAAUUCGAGAAGACGCUACAGAGCAUCGGUUCUCGAGACAAGAAUAUGUGAAUCGAGUGUUAUUAGAACCCAGCGCCUCGAAGCAUGGUGAAAAGUGUAGAGCUAAACUAGAAAAGAAGUGUAAUAUUGGCUAAGAGAUGGACGAUCUUGGAUCGAACAAGAGCGUACUCGAGAAGCCAAAGGGGUCGAGAAAAGGAAGGUCUAACACUUAAACAAAUUUUGCCCAAGGUUAAGGGAGACGUAUCUUAAGGAAAGUGGUUUGAAGGCAGUGUGUUGAAACUCAAAGACACGGUUAGAGGUCUUUGUGUUUCAGAUCCCACUAUCCCGUGAUCCGGAAGUUUCGUGCACUAACACCACGUUGAAACUCAGACACGAUUAGAGGUCUUUGUGUUUCAGAUCCCAAUAUCCCAUGAUCCGGAAGUUUCGUGCACUAACACCACGUACUCACAUAGCAAAGGUUACUUGACAAAGAAAGGAGACGACUAACUCAAAGCCAGGGUUGGUACUCAAGAAGAUUGGUUUGAAGAGUUGCAAGGCAUGCCUUUAUUUUUUUUUUUGAUAAUUUGGAGGGUCUGAGACCCGUUGCAAGGCAUGCCUUAAUACUAUGAGAGAAUUGCACCCGUAUUUACACUUAAAUCUAGCCUAGUUUUCCGGUUAUGAAUACUGAAAAUAAAUUUUCUGACGCAGAAGAGAUAGAAUGAGUCGGACGGGAGGGAUACUGGGAUAGAAUGGUUAACACUAAAUAAGGUGACAUCCAAUUGCACAUGUAGAUUAUUUUUUAUUGCCAUGGAUUGUGAUUGAACCAGUUAAAAUCGCUUCCCUUUUAACAUGUAUAUAUGUUCAUAAGAUCACAUAAAUAAAUAAAUAAAUAAAUAAAUAAAACUGAGACACGACUUAGGUUGAAAGACUUGAAAGUGGUAAUAAAUUAUGCUUCUAUCCUCUUUUAUAACUUGUUGAAUUUCCUAACCUAUAUCUAUAUCAUUUGAUCUCUAGGUACAACAAAGGCCUCAUCGCUUAAGUUUCAUAAUUCCCGCGUGAAAAAAAAAAAUUAUAGGAAAAAUGAAUAAUCAGUGCUUGCUAACCGUCUACAACAAGGAAAAAAAUAAUUCAUGGCAUGUAUAAUUAAACUAAAACAUUUAGAGUAAAAUACACUCACCCCCUCAAGAUUUGCAAGAAUGACACUCCACCCCAUUCUUUUUAAAAAUCUACACUCCACCCCAUUUUUUAUAAAGGCAAAUUUUAGUGACGAAAACAAAUUCCUCACUACUAAAAACUAAUUACUAAUUAGUAAAAAUUUAAAUAAAUUUAAUGCAUAUACACUAUCAUACAUUAAUUUAUGAAAAUAAUUUUACUGAAUUAAAUUUAAAAAAACCAUUCACUCUGUCUGUUAAGUCCACGUCCCAUCUAUCUCCAAAUCAUAUUUCUCACCACAAACGGCCACCACCAAGCCUUUACUCCCUUUAACACGGCUCCACUGUCCCACAAUGUGAAACCCCAUGGCACCUCCAUGCCUCAAAGUUUUGUUGCGACCUGAACCCCAGAACGUGAAUCGCACAUCCCUAAAGCCACUUGUUCAACUACUUCUUGUGAAUUUCACCCCUUGAAGUUGUGAGCAAACGCUCUGUUGGUCUUAGAUAUUGUUGGAUUUUGUUAAAAACGAUGCUCCACCGCCUCGUUGGGCUCUAAUAACCUCAGAUCCACUUCAUAUUUUCAUAAUUUUGUUUCUCUAUUUUCUUCACCCAUUUGUGUUGCUUUUUUGGCCUACAACCCAAUUUUGAAAAUUGGAGGUAUAAAGAGAUUAUUUUGAUUAAAAUUGAAUUAUUACCAAAUAUGAAAACACAAGCAUGUUUCACUAUAUUCGAGAUAUGGUUUGUAAAUCGGGCAGGUGUGCUAUUGCAUAAUUUGCAUUAUGAAUUUACGGAGGAAAAACGCGAUUGAGAGAAUGAGGAGGAUUGUGAUGUUUUCAUUUUUAAAUUUAUUGGAUUAUAUUGAUUUUUUUUUUUGAAAUUAUUGAUUAACAAUUUAAAUAAUAACUAAUUAUUAAUGAAAAAUAUUUUUCGUCACUAAAUUUGCCUCUAUAUAAAAUGGGGUGGGAUGUAGAUUUUAGAUAAGAAUGGGGUGGAGUGUAAUUCUAACAAACCUUAAGGGGGGUGAGUGUACUUUACUCAAACAUUUAUGAUGUGAAUGGAUGGUGAGUGAACUCACCUGAAAGCAUUUAUGUGUAUCCUUUAUACCCUGUCAUUAAAGCAUUUAUGUGUAUCAUUGUUUUUGUUUUUCAAAUUUUGGGAAUAGAAACUGGUUUGUAUGAUGUGAAUGGAUGGUGAGUGAACUCACCUGAAAGGGAAAAUGAUCAGGUCCACGAGCUGGGGCAGAAUUUAUCUGAACUGUGCCUGUCUCCAUUGCAUCACUGAUCAAUAUUGCUUUGUUCACAUCCUUUGUGAAGACACAACCCUACACAAGUUCAAUGUGUUGAAACAAAUCAUCAUAGACAAGUUCGCAAAUGAAAUGAAUCUACUUUGUGCAUGCUUGAAAAUCCUUCUAUAAUUUAUUCUGAAGUCAAACUCAAUUCUAGAGAGAAGUUUCUGGGUGUCAGAUUCUGAUGAAAGAAUAGUUGAUCCAAACAUGUACAAAGUCAAUGCUAAAAUUCUACCUGAAGUCCAAAAUUGCUAGAAUUACAAUGGUGGAUCCCUUCUUCAAUGGAAUUGAUCCUAAUAACAGGCAAAACUGGUCCAAAUGGCUCCUCCCAUGCAAUUCUCAUAUCAGGCCUAACAUUAUCAAGCAGCAAGGGCCAAAUGAGAUUCCCUUCCCUUCUAUACACCUGGCAGAAUGUUGCUCCUUUCUUUUUAGCAUCCAAGACCAGGCCUUCAAUGAAAUUGGCUGAGGAUUCUGAAACAACUGGGGUGAUAUCAGAGUUAUCUUCUGGUGCUCCAACACUUAGUUUGGCCACCCUAGCCUUCACUUUCUCAACCAAUUUAUCAGCAACAGUUUCCAUCACUAAGACAACCUUAACAGCUGUGCAUCUCUGACCACUUUUGUAGAUAAAGUGAACAACAAAACAAGUGGUUAAUACAUAAAAGAAAUUCCUUUGGAAUGGGAGUUAAAUUAAAACACCAAAGUGUCACCAAAAGCCUGAGUAUAGGGAAGAAUUUAGUGUGAUUUUCCUAUGUCAUAGCAUUAUGGAAAACAACGCUACAUACUAACUAAGUAUUGAGCACAAAGAAGCAUGUAGUGUCAUUGUUUGAUGUGAAGUUGUGAACUGAGAAUUCAAAAUAACACACAUAAUAUUGUCAUUAUCAAAUCAAUGCAAAAUGGAGUAUAAUUAUUAGAAUUGUUGGAUAUCAAGAGCGUGAAAGUUUGCAGGACAAAACAUCUGCAAGCUCUGAUACCAUCUAGAACUUGGGGUAGAAUUAUACCUGACCAAAGUUCUAAUAAAAAUUCAACCCGUAUCCCUUUCCCAAGAGAAGCAAAUUCAGAUAUGCCAUUCACCUGUAUGAAAAGCCUCCUUUUAUAAUGUUUGAAGCCACCAAAUCCAGGUCCGCAUCCUCAAGUACAAUGCAGGCAUCCUUUCCUCCAAGCUCCAUUUGCAAAGGAAUCAUGCCUGCCUUCUUUGAAAUUGCAAUACCAGUAUCUCCACCAGUGAAGCUGACAGACAGAUAAACAAAGGAAAAGUCAAAACUGACCAAAUUGAAAUAGGUAGGGGAUAUGAGGUACCAUACCAUCACAUACAUCAUAAAACAAUGAAUAAACAAUCACCUUAUGCAAUUCACUCCUGGAUGCAUAGUAAGGAAGUCACCAAUUUCUGAGCCUUUGCCUGUGACACAACUUAUUAGGCCUUUGGGAAAACCAGCCAGGUGAAAACAAUGCACCAUGUGAAGAGCAGAAACAGCUCCCUGAAAUGCAUCAUCACAAUGUUAAAAGAUUGGAAGAAAUUAAAAGAUUUAAAAUCUUAGUAACAAUCUGAACACUUAUUGGUUCUUCCAUUGAGGUUGACAACAAGUAUUUCUAGCAUCGCAGUAGCGAAGAUUAUGAUACAAGUAUUUUGUACAAGCCUGAAUUUUGUGUUCUGGUAAAAUAGUAGUUAUCUUUUUUUUACAGAUGGACACAAUCUAGUGACUUGAGCUAUUGGCUAUUGAUGUGAGAGUAUAAACAUUACCUGGGUUGGAGGCUUGAGCACAAUUGAGUUUCCGGCGAUCAGCGCAGGAGCAAUUUUUGAGACAGCAAGGUUGACAGGAUAGUUAAAAGGCGGGAUAGCUAAAAUCACUCCUAAUGGAACCUGAAGAACCCAUUUAAACCAUAUCAUAUUCCAAGAGAAAUAAUAAGGUAUCAGAUUGCUUGUCAUAAAAGUUACUAAGAUGAUGAAAUGUUAUAAAAUAUUGGAUUAUAUGCACUCAAACAUUAGAUCAUGCGGAAGUUUGUAACUUCAAAAAAAAGUGCUGGCAUGUUGAAUUUUUAGAAGUUACAGUGUAGUAAAAUGAGUUUCAUACAGAAUGUAAGUUCUGAAAUUAACCUUUGAUGUGAGGCAAUAUUUUGUCCUUUCAUUUCCAGGAAAGCUAUCUGACACCAAGAACUUCCCCUCUCCCAAAAUUCUUACCCCCUCUUCAGCACAAUAAGAAACCAGAUCUCCUGACCUCACAACCUUUAUCAAAAACAUUAAAUAUUUAUUAUUUUCAUGAUUCAAAUUUCUGAUCCUAAUCAAAAUUUUCCUUAACCAAUAACAACAUGGUCUGCACCUCUGUAACUGCAUCUUUGGCUGGCUUUGCUAUUUCUUUGACCAGGCACUCAGCAAUUGGAUCUCUAUGUUCUAUGAGAAUAGCAGCUGCCUUGUGUAGAAGCUCAGCCCGCUUCCAGAGCGGGGUCUUUGCCCAUGACUUUUGUGCUGAUUUUGCUGAAUCCAUUACCUUAUUAACUUCUUCUUGUGAACAAGCUGCAUCAAUAUCAUUUCAGAGCCUAUUACACUCAGCUAUCUCUUGUUACUAAUUUAAAAACUGAAGCUUACAGCAUGUUUAGAUCAACUUAUUUUUUCUCAGAAUCAAUUCUGAAACCUAGAAGCUGCAUAAGCUUCUCCGAAGAAGAAAGAAUUAAUUCUAGUUCUACUAUAAAUUGUAGAAGGAUUUCCAAAUAUGCACUUAGAAUAUGCACAAACUUUAUCAACAUAGAGUGAGAAAAAAAAAAGUAAUUAACUAGAAUGUAGGACUUUAGAUGCUAGAGAAAAUGGUGUGUCAUAACAUCCUUUUGGUAGUUGAUUACCUUGAACUUUGUAUUGAGUCUUCCUAGUAGUGGGAUUGAUGAUGGAAACACUUUUUCCUGAAGAAGAUUUUGUCCAUUCUCCACAAGAGUAGUACUUGUAUACUUCACCAUCCAAGAUUUCAGCAAACAAUCCAGUUCCAGCCAUGUUCCAAAUUAUGCAAAUUUUCUCUUUAGACCGAACGAUUUAUAAUAUAAUGUGUUGAGAAAGAGAGAAGUAUAAGGUUAGGAGGAGGAGGAGGUAAUGGUGAAGUGUGGUUUUGGUUAUGUGAGACUGUGGGUGAUGGUUUGGUGAGUGAUCCUAUGAUGCGUUUGUUUAUUAUAUAAAGGGAAUGUGAGAACAAGGUAUUAACUUGGGACGAACGAGGUUAGGUGGUUCAAUUUCCAGCAUGCCAUGCAAUGUAGGUGAGGUUUAAAUAUCUCAAUCUCCAUCUCCUUGUCCUAUACUGACAGUGACACUAUGUUAGGAUGACUUUCACUCACAAAACAGUUAAACUUGUAUCAAAUGUUUGUUAUAUCCUCCCUUGAGAGAAAAGUGGCAUGUAUAGGAAUGGAAUUAAGAACAGAGAAGUGUACAAGCAUGCUUUGAGAAGUUACGGCUAAGAUUAAUUUUAAUGAAAAAUAACUUAUCAAAUUAAUUAGUUGAUGGUGAUUUGUAUGCUUUUGGAGUUGGUUGAGGUAAACUGAAAUAUGAAACUUACAUACACAAUGGUGGUUUGUCACGAGAAAAUUGAACCAAUUUUUAUCACGAGAAAUUUUUGAAAGUUAAUGAGUUAACAUUUGCUAGGCUUUCUAUGUUUAUAACAAAUGGACCACAUAGACAUUGGUUUGGUGUUUAAAUCAAACAGCAUUGCCUACCACUCGGACCCCUCAAGCUCAUCCCAUAUUUUGGUCUAGAACUCAUCGAAGUAGUGGUGGCCCAUCUUUAGGAUGACGAUAAAAAGCAACUACAAUUGGGUUUUUCCUUUUUCUAGUGUGACUUUUUCCCUUCUUUCCUCCUCACUGGCUUAGCCACCACCGGAAUUCCCUGCCUCCGCUCCCGCUGCGGCCUUCCUGCACCCCUGCCGCCGUGUGUCUCUAUUGGUGGUUUUUUGUUAUUUUUUUCUCUCUCGUGUUAGGCUUACAACAUGUUUCAUGGGUGAUUUUAGUGCAUGCUAACUAGGAUGCAUGCUAUGUUGCACUGCUCUUUCUAGAGUUCGAGUCUCUUAUUUUAGUGACGUUUAGCUUGGUGUUUGCCUUAAUCUUAUCAACAACAACAAAAAAAGGGAUGAAAUUCAUUAGCAAGGAAUUCCUAGCCGUUAAUGUGACACUAACAAUCAAUAGCCAUAAGAUGCAUUCAGGGCAUAUAACCAUAACUAGAACAGUUUAAAAUAAGAUCCCUUAUUUUUGUCAUGUUGUCAUAUAAAGUCAAAUGCUUAUAAAACUUUCUUUAUAAGAAUUUCAUUCAUGCAGCUAUGUUUUAAAUAUUUUGAUUUGUCUCUAUAAAGCAAGCAUGGUAUGCUAGGUUGAGAUGAGUUUGGCGCUCUUGAAGAACUAGAAAAGAAAAACAUAAGAGCUGAACACUCAAUUGAAUAUAGAAUUAGCACUAAAUAUACUACUAAAAAUAAGUAUUUGAUAAACCAAACAUCACAAAAUUAACCAUAUCUUUCAAACUCCCUAAGAACACCCAACUGAAAUAUAGCAUUAGCACUUAAUAGUUUGCGCUGCACAAAAAGCAAAAUGGUAGUAAAAUAGUUAGCUGCAUUUGGACUCGCCACUCACCAACCAUCACCUCAUUUCUUAACACCACGUUUUGCAUAAGCAAUGGCUUCUGUUACAGUGGCUCUACGUCCAGUUCUGAAGUUCCAAAGCUCAGUUUUGAUACUUCUCCUCCCACUUGGAUUGAGAGUGUUCUUUCCACUGUCUGAAGAUGAAGAAUCUUCCUCAUCCACCAACUCCUUCAAAGCAGUCACCACAGCUACAUAAACCUCCUCUCCAAGAUCUUCCUUUAAAGCUAGCAGUUUCUCAUCAUCUUCAUCAAUUACUUUCUGCAAAAAGAAAAACAUCAAAUAGCAUAAAGAUUGUUUUGGACCUCUAUGAGUUCUUUUUCAAGAUAUAGAUGCUUAUACAAAAAAUGUGGUCAGUUAUUCAAAAUAUACCUGUUUUCUCCCCCCUUCAACUUCAAUAAUCUUGAAAGGGUUCCAAGUUGAAUCUAGUAUUUCGUUUUGCCACUUCAAGUGUAGUUGUUUAGCAGACUCCAAUGAUGCUUUACCUUUAUAUUUAUUCUUGCGCACCUUUUGAAAUGGUUGAGCAUUGAUCUCGCCAAAUUUCUUCACUCCAAUAGAGGUGAACCUUUUCAAACGCUUUGGCAACACCUAAAUUGUAAAGCAAAAAGCCUUCAACUAGUUAGAGCAAAGAAACAAUCAAUUUGUCAUAAAUCAUCACUGUAGUCAAAGGUGAUAGCAUUGUUAUUAACAAGAUAAAUAUUAUAGGACUAUGAAGGAAAUGAAAACAUUACUGCAAUGAAUUCUUGUCGAGCAUCUUCUAGUUCCCUCUUAGCUAAUUGUUCUUUCAUCUCGAGAACUUGAUUAAAAUCUUCUUUUUCAGACAUGUCCUCAAUCAUCUCCUGCAGUUUUUCUUCCAUCUCUUCUAUUUCUUUCUUACUAAUUUUACCCUUUUCAGAAUCAGCUCCCAUCACAUUCAUACACUUCAAAACCUUCAGUUGCCCUUCUAGUUCAGCAAUCUCUAACUUCAGCUUAUGCUCAUCAUUCAGAUCUUUCUCCAGCUUCAAAAGUGUAUCUCUCAUAGCCUUUUCCUCCAUCUGAAAAGAAUAUAUUUGCAAUAUUCAUUGAUUAGCAAAAAGGAAACCAAACUUGAGGCUUAACAACACUGUAUGACAAACCUUGUGUUUCUUAAGCAACUCAGCCAUAUCAUCUUUGGCCUUCACCUGCUCCUCUGAUGCUAAAAUUAGUGAUUCUGUUUUCUACACACUCAAAAUUGAUAUUAGACUUUGCACACUGUCAUUAACAAAUUACAAUAUAGGAUCCAAAUUCUAUUCAAAGAUUUACCUUUUUCUUUUGUUCCUCAAAUUUUCUUCUCUCAUGUAUAGUUGACUUCUCCUUUUCACUCAGUUGCUGACCCAAGCGAGCAAGUUCAUCAUUCCUUGUAUAAAUUUGGUUCUUUAAAUUUUCAGUCUCUUCUAUUAUUCUUCUAGCAUGUUCACGUGCAUUCUGUUCCAUCCUCUGCAUCUCUGGAGCAAAUUAAGCAUGUGUUUGGUUAUCUAUUUACAUAAGAUAUUCACAAGCUAAUAAGGAGAAGAAAAUAAUUUCUAAAAGAUAAACUUUAUUGAGUAAAUUCCUCUGUUUCCCCUGGACAGGAGAACCAGAGAAUGAAAGUGAUUGAUUACAAGAAGAAAACUCUGGAUAUUUGAGUGAUCCAUUGCACUCCAUAAUUCCCUACCAAUUUCCAACCCUUAUAUACUCUCCUAGUUAGUCACAACUGGUCCCCAUAGUUAUAUAACUAAGUAACUAACUAUAACAGUUAUAACAAUUGAAUCCAUUAGGUUAUAACUUAUAAGUAACAUUAUGGUAUACUAAUUUCGACUAACUUAUACUGAGAGUUCAGGGUUAUCUUUCCUUGCACCUCUCUUACAUUUCCUAUCAUAGGCCCUUUAAGAUAAAAAGUGAACUGAACUCUUCUCAAACAUCGAUUUGAAACACAUGUGGUACUCAAAUGUAUUCAAACACACACUAAAACUCAUACAUCCAAGCAAGAAAAUAUAUAUACUAAAAUGUAUGCUUAAGGGUAAAAAGGAUAUAAGUAAUUAAGAGCAUGCACUGCAAAUUUGUUUCAAACUGCUAUUAAAGAAAGUAGCCAGUGACAUCUUCAUUAGUAGGGUAGAGUUACAAUUCACAAACCUUCAAUACGAUCUUGGUGAAGUUUCUCCCUCUCUGCCAUUAUGUUCAUCAAUGACAAGCUUCUCUCAGAGUAAUUAGUUUCCACUUCACAAAUAUUCAUGUUUGUAGACUCUAUUUCCCCAACCAAAUUGGCCACUUUUUUAGUCUGUUCUUUCGAUGCAUCUUGUGAAACCUCAGAAACUGUUUUCAGCACUGCCUUCUCACGAAGAUAAUCACCAACAACCCCUUUUGAGUUGUAGUCCUCAGCUCCUCCAAUCCAAGCAUACAAAUCUGAACCAGGCCACUCCAUCUGUGAGUCCCAGUCCUUCUUUCCAUGACAAUCAGUUUGAAAAUCUGUGUCUAACUUCAUCACUUGCCUGUAGCCUGUCCAUUCUGUUCCAAAUUCCAGCACAACAUAUCCUCUAGGAUCAUCUUUACCAUGAUGCAGCACAUGAGCUUCUUUUGGUUUAUACAGUUCAAACUUUUUCAGCCAAUACUCUUCUGUCUCAUUCUUUGGCUUCCUGAAUAUGCUACCUACAAUCCCUUUCCAAGGCCAAACAAACCUCUCUUCUAUGAUUGGUUCCUCAUUGGCCACUUCCAACUGAGGAGGCUUAACAACAAUAUCCAACUCAGUGCUGACAUCCUCUUUCAAGUAUUUUGCCAAUGCAAGGUGCUUAACCCUGACUUGCAUGCUUCUUUUUGCUGAGCCUGUUCCUAUUCCAGAAGCAUGUUGAAGAAGAUCUUUAAACUGAAACUCUUGCUUCUUUUUGCCUUCACAGAAAGGGCACCUCAAGGUGGCAUUUGAAUUCUUGGUCCUGUAUUUCCCAGCUUUGAUUUCAUCAUAGUACCUCUCCAUGUAAUCAUACUUCUCUGACUCACUUAUUUCUGAAUCUGUAUUUGAACUGCUACUACCCAUUGAAGCAAGCUGAUUAAUGUUUCCUAAGAAAUCAAUCUAUGUUCUGAAAAAAGAAAUAAACACACAAAUUACUAAACAAGUUAGAAUUUUUAUAAUAGAGCUAGCUUUAAUAGUAACUCUCACUUAUUUAUUACAAUAUUCCACUUUGUUACAAAUAUGAAAAAUGCAUGUAAAAUGAAAAGGAAAUGUGAACAGACAAAGGGGACAGAACUAAGCAUAUAUGAACACUAGGCAGUGUUUAUUGGCAAGAUGGGGGUGGUGGUAAGAUGAAAGGUUGUCAACAUAAAUUUUCAGCUAUGCAGAUGGAACUUUAUGAAGAAUAUGAAUCAGUGUUCUUUAUUAUAACUUUCUUUGUAAUGAAGAGUUACUAUUUAUUUUUUAGCAAAGGGGACAGACCUGAAGAAUGGUCUGGUGGUGAAUGAAUCUGCAACUCAAUGGAGCUACUGGUAGAGUGUGGUUAUGGUGAAAAAGGUGGUGCCUUUUUAUGGUGAGGAAGAAGAAGCUAAGGGUGCAAGGGAAGGAUGAUGAAGAAGGGUCAUGUUGAAAGAUUAGUAGUGUGAGUGUGUGUGAGUGUUACUUGCUGUGGUGCUUGUGUGAGAAUAUAACGGCCUCUUUCCUAGUCUGCUGUACUAGGUGCACUGCAUGCCGAGUGAGACACGCUGCUCUGUCAUUUUAGAGGUGUGUGCUGGUGCCUGGUGUGUACGUGAUGAGGUGAGUCUGCAGAGAGAGAGAGAGAGAGAUUCGGUUAGUACUAAUGAAAUGGAAAGGAAAUGUUUACUACACAUUAAUUCAAGUGAGAAAGAUAUGAAUAGAAGAGACAAAAGUGAGAGGUAUGAUGAGAAAAGAAGUGAGAAAUAAGUAGAGGAAGUCCAUAUGAGAUUAAAGAGAAAGAGUGAUAUGAAAAGUAUGAAAAGAUGAGCUGACGUGAGCUUUCCGACGACCUCCGGUGGUUAGAGAACAUCCGCUAAAUUGUUUGUCGAUUGAAUUUCUGCUAAAAAAUGAAUGUUCACGUAUAAUUACUCAUAAUGAUAUGUUAACACCCGUAAUUUUAAAGGUAUGUGCACACAGUUAAAUGUUUUGAUUCAUCUCGAAUUACAUAUCAAUUUGAUGUGGGAGGUGCUGCUCUACCUUCACGAUAACUAUCAACUCACUCAGACAAAGAACUAUAAAUUGAAACAAGUGUUUAGACAGAAACUCUUUCAAAAUCCAGUUAUGAAGCUAUUGAUGAACUUUCAUCAUUUAAUAAAUGUCUUAUAUGUAAAAAGGCAGAUUUGUAAUGUAUGUGGUGGUUCGAAAACACACACGCACACAUAUAUUACACUAUUGUUUUAAAUGACAUAACAGAUAAAAAUGUGCAAGUUAUUUCCACGAAUGUGACAUUUUCAUUCGCAACAGAGAAGGAGUUUUCUCGUUCAUGUUAAAUCAGUUAUUUACGACGUAAUUCAUCAGUAAUAUCCUACACUAAUUAGUUCCUAGACCGUCGAUAAAUUACUGGCAAACUAAACGACGAUAACUUAACCAUCGAUAAUUUAUCGAUAGACUAAUUCAUCGAUUGGUAAGUUACCGAUGACUUUGUAAAAAAAAUCUUAAUUGAACACUUUAAUUGCCAAUGUCUUCCCUUAUUACGAAAGUAACAAAAUCACAACAUAUAACAUUCCUUUCUCUAGCACAUCGCCACCAAAUUUGAGCUGUUCUCCGGGGCAUUCUCUAAUAGGAUAUCUCUUGUUAUUUAUUUUUCUAUGCUCCUCUCCUUGAUCAAUCCAAGUUUAUUCGCUUUAUUUUUAUUUUGUUCUUAUUUAUUAUUGUGCUUCAGUUAAGAAAAAAAUCAAAAAGUUGAUUAAGAUUAAAAUUUUAAAUUUGACACCUUGUUAUUGCAUUUUCCUUUUAAUAUGUUUUAUUUUCAAAUAAAAAAUGUGAACUGUUUUAAUUCAAAGGUGGGAUUUUUAAUUCAAUGGAAGUGUUUGAGAAGGGUAGAAUGAGGGCGUGGGAGUGGCUGCGAGCUAAAAAUACUAAUUUUAUUCAUGCUACGGCUGAAUGGUACAAUGAGCCACUUGCUUGUCUAGCUGAUAUGAGUCCGGGCUGAAGGGUGUUAUGCAAUGCAUAAGUUGCUGGUUUAGCUCUCAUUAUUAGUGGACUGUUUACAGAGUUAUUUAUUGUCUACUCAAAGUUACUCUAAUUUUUUUCUGUUUUGUGAGAUUGCGAUUCCCGGGCUCGUUCCUCAUUGUGUUGCUGUGUUUUUUGGAUACUUUGGAAUCUGAUGAUGACUGUUGUGCAUAUUGCUGCUGCUCUAUAUGGGAAAGGGAGGCUUGUGGUGAUAUUGUUGGCUUUUAUAUUAUAUUGUUAUGGAUAUUGCUUGCUGGAGGCUCUUGGAAUCAACCCGCUGUAGCUAAAUGAGGGAAGGAGGGCUUUUGAAGGAUUGUCUUAGAGGAGCUAGUCACCUAUGUGGUCUCUGGCUGUUGCAUUAUUUGAAGACUUUGGUGUGGACUGUAGGACAUUUCCUAAUUUUCUAGGUAUUUUGUAUAGUCCUCCUUGGAUAAUUCCACUUGAUUGUUGAAAUUUUGUACUCUUUUUCCUUCACCGGGUUUUCCCAAGGAGGUUUUUCCCGGUAAGGUUUUAAUGAGGCAUAAUUCCUUUAAUCUGUCUCCAAGGAGGUGGUGGGUGGUGGGUAUAUUUACUAGUAGGUGGAGUUUUGUUGCUGUUUGUAGUAUCAGCUUCUUUUAGCUUUUCUUUUCUUUUCUCUCCUACUUGUAUUGGGUUGAAGUACCCAUUGUACUUCACUUCAAUAUAUUCAUCUUGCUUAUAAAAAAAAAUGUGAAAAAAUAACAGCGAAAUGUGCGGAACUUUAAAAGGGUCAAACUUGGUGUGAGUACGGUACAUUCCAAAAGAAAUAAAUGAAGAGGAGGCAAAUGGGUCAAACAUAGAAAACAUUAAUAAAAGUAAAUCAAACUUGAGCUGAAAAUGGAAAGUGGUGCAGUUUGUAUGUAUGAAGAGGGCAAGAUCGAGACAAUGAGAAAAGAGGAGAGAUUCCUUGCUUCCUUAGGAUGUCAAGGGGCUGCACACUGAUCAGCUGCAUGCUGCACAUUGCUUUGAUCAUAUUGAUAGAAACAUGACAGUGCAAGGAUCAAAGGGGAACCAGAGAUCUCGAGGAACAUAAGCUAAGAAGAAGAAAGUCUGGGUGGGAGCAGCAUAAAAAUCUUGGGAACCAGUCAACCAGAGAUCAUAGGGAGAGGGAAGUUUCGCCUAAUCUUUUUCUCUAGAGUUUCAAUCUUCUAAGAGGAUGUUACCACCCCUUUUUGCAUUUUUGGUUUCAUUCUAAUCUUUUGUUAGUUACUAUAUAUAAGUUUUAACCUUUAUUAAUCAGUUUCUUCUACAUCUACAUCGAUUUUGGAGUUAUGUGUUAUCAACUAAUUAUCAUUUCCUUUAGUUUUGUUAUUACUAUUACUACUAUUACUAUUAAUCAUUGUUGGUCGUAUGUGUGUCUUGUGCUUCGUUGAUCUUAAUGAUAUGUUAUUUCAUCUUAUUGGCUACUUAGAUAUUUUUUUGGGUGUGAUAUUUGAAUUAGGUGAUUUAAUAAAUUAUUGACAUAUGGUAAUUUAAGUAAUAAUUUUCACAUUUUUCACGAAGAUUUUUUUAGCGAAAUAGUUAAAAGUCCAAAGACCUAAAUAAAAUAAAAAGUUUAAUAAUUACUACGGUAAAUGAGUAAACAUUCAAUAUCAAUUUAAAGAUUUGAAGUUUUUAGGAUUAGAGUUCUUAGGUUUCAAUUGUUGGGCACAUCGACAUUGUUUGAACGACAAAGCUAGGAGGAGGUGCUUCAUCACCGCUGCUUUAUCAACGCCCGGUGGCUCGUCAUUGUUGCUUCGUCGUCUUGGUUUGUGUAAUUUGAACUAACCUGUAAGUCUUUUAUUUAAUUUAAAUGAUAGUUAAGGCAGAGAUUAUGACAAUUUCAAUUAUGAACAACUAUAUAGAUAAACUUUGUUUCAAUCAUGAACUAGAACAAAUAUUUCAAUCAGGUGAUCAAUAAGGGGGUUAUUCGUCGUUGAUGAAGAUCAUAGAUAAUUUAUUAAAAUUGAAAUCAAAAUGGGGAAAAAACGUCAUCACUCCAAGUUCUUUUCCUUCAUAAAAUAGCGGUACUUCAGAGAGGAGGGAUAAGAAGAACAAAGUAUAUGAACCGUGUUAUACUUGGGAGGGAAGACCGAUGGUUUCUUCACUUUAAGAAUUGAUGAUGCUAAACUCUAAUUUUUAUAAGUGAAAUGAUGUGUUCGUAACUAAUAUUUUCAUAAAUAAACAUCAGGAAAAUAUUAAUGUUGACUCAUCUUAAACGUGAGUCUUUAUUAUUAGAGUCAACUCAUUUUGGAUAUCACAUUUUAAGCUGGUUUAAAGCAGCGCAACAAGCACCUUAUAAAUAUUAGUCUUGUUAAAUUGUAUACAACUCUUUUGAUAUAAUUGUAAAAAAAAUCAAAAACUAUACUUUUUUAUAUUUUAAUUCAAAUUUUAUGUAUAUCAUUAAACUAUCCAUAUUUACUAUAUUAUGUUAUUUCCCUCUUUGCUCUUUAUUUUACUCAUGCUGUUUUCUUCUUAUUGUUUGUCUACUCUCUUAAAUUUUUCUACAUUUUAGCUUAGAAAAUCAUAUUUAUAAUGUAAGGAUAUUCAAUUUUAACACAAUAGACUCAUGAGAGGGGAAAUGGAUUAUAAUGAAGAUAAGUAGAGAAAGUACUAUUAAAAAAAUUAUGACAUUCCUAUCAAUUAGUUUAUCCAUCAAUGCUUUUUUAUUGAACGAAUCCAUCAAUGAUUGAUGUGUGAUCAGUGGGUGUUUGGAUUUCAAUACGAAGAACAAAUUGUUUGGUUACAAUGUUACAUGCAUAUGAAGAACAAAAUUUAGUGAAUAUGAGUUUGCAAAUAGUGUUUGAUUAAAGUAGGUUAGUUGUUAUAAAUGAUUCUGGUUUUUUUUUUUCAAAAGCACUAUUAGUUAAAAGGGCUUUCAACUUGUAUAGCUAAUAAAAAGACAAUUAAUGCCCCCAACAAACCCAAAUGAAAGUAAAAGUGACAAUAUGAGUUGAGAUAAAAAUUGAAUUAGGAUUAAAAGUGAGGUGAGCGAAUGUGAAUUUGCUAAACACAAUAUUACACGAGACCCAAAUAUGCUGGAAAAUAAACAUACCCUUAGUUAGACACAAAUGUAGUAGUACUGGAAAAUUAACAUACCCUUUAGUUGUAAUGGAAAAUGAGACUUCUAAAUAAUAACUUCAUUCCUUUUUUUUAAAUCAGUUUUCAUACCGUAAGAGAAAACAGUUUUCAUACCUAAACUUAUUCAGAAAACUCCUCAUCUAAAUUUUCCGCAAGUAUCCGAGAAAAAGUUAUUUAAAAAAUUAAGAACUAAAUAUUGAGACACUUUUUAGUUUUUACAUCUGAAAGAAAUCCAAAACUGAGCCCCUGUGGCAAUCUAAGAACCCUAUGUUCCUUUAAAAAAAAAAAAAAAAAACCACAAAAGAGUCUUGAAAAGAAAAAACAAGUUACCAAAAAUAAAAAAAUAAAAAGACACCAGGAUCCCAACUUGGCAGCAAUUUGUGAACUGUAAGCACAUGGUUAAGAGCAAUAUCUCAGCAGCAGGUCGAAUAAUAUAACAAUUAUAUCCAAAAUGGAUGAUUAAAACCCUGUUUGUUAGAUGAUCAAUGAAUGGAAGAAAGAAAAGAAUCUCCAAAUGACUAGAGAAACCUUUUAUUUUUUCCACCCAUACACCUCUACCAAACAUUGCCUUACAAUUUACAAACCACUGAAGUACUGGUGUGUCACUGCAUGGUUCUAAGAAACAAUACAAGAUGGGAGGAUAAUUCUAAGUAAGAAAAUAAAGGAUUUUUUGAGAAGCUAAGGUAUUUGGAACAAGCUAGUAUGGACAGUAAUAUACAAGCCGCAUAUGGAAGAAGUGUGUAGCUUCCACAACCCUAAUUUUCCUUCUCCUAAUCUAACUAUAUAUAGUGGCCAAAGAUUGACUUUUGAUUCUAUGACAAUUCUACCCUUGCAUUGUGUUGAAGACCAUGGGUGAGGAUGAGUGGCUUUUUAGUCAUUUAGAGAAAUGGGUAUAUCUACCGACAUCAACAAACUUACUAUAAAUUUGCCGUCAAGAUUGUAAUUAAAGCAUCAGCAUCUAUUUUUUCAUAAUUAAUUAUAAAAUUCAGAAGUUACUCACCUAACAUUUUCUCAAGAACUGAUUCGGACGGGAUAAUUGUAGAAGAAUUUCCAACAAUGUAAUUAUUAAAACAUUGUUACACAAGGAGAUGAAGUGACACAGUUAUUUUAAUUUCUGCAAGAUCUAAAUCUAACAAAUCUAAACACCCAUUAAAUUAUUUCACACAUUUUUAUUUUAUAUUAAUAUAUUUUAAAGUAAUGAAUUACUUACUAAUUGACUAAUUUAGUACACUGAUUGCAAGAGCCAACUCUUAUCUUUGAUCUUGUACUUUCUAGUUACAAGUGGCUGCAACUUUCUUUUGUGAAAAUUUUCUGGACAGAGAGCUGUGUAUUUGCAUAAGACAAUUAAGAUACCUUCUCAAGAUAAUAACAAUACUAGGAGGGCAUAAACUACAGAUGUUGCUGCUGGAUAUGAAUCUUAAACAUAUUCAAGUUCUUAAACAUUACAAUACAUUCCAAAAUAUAGACUAGUUGUCAAAAAAUGGAUUUGAAAUGGAAAACUUGGUUCUUGUUUGGGAACCAGGCUGGGGGAAACUUCAGAUGAAAUUGGAACUUGAGGCAGCACAGAAGCACCCAUGCCAGAAAGAACAAUUGGAUCUCCAACUGGAAAUAUUUACAUGACAUCUGUACCCUUCUGUUGGAGCACAGUUUUGAAAGCAACUUCACCAGCUAAAUUUAUAUAGUAUGUUACCUGUAAUGGGAAGAUAUAUUAGUUGUGCUGCAGAGUAAAUUUAGACAUUUGGCAUGAUUUCUAAGAUCCAGUGUAUUUAACCAAUUAUGCCAUGCAUAAUAUGACUUAAAAAUUUCAUCCAACAUCCAUUUUAAUGAUUAAAGGAUUCCCUAUAGUAAAGGAAAAUCUUAAUCGCGCGUCGUUGAUGAAUCUUAAUUGUUCAAUCAAGAUCGAACGGCUCAGAUUUUACGCUAUCUUUGCCAUUUGAUGUUGAUGGGAGUUGUUCGAUUUUGACAAACAGAUCAGAUUAGUAAAUGCGUGAAUUUAGGAUUGCCCUAACUGCAGAGAACCAAAUCCCACUUUAAUGUACUAAGAAUAAAGAUCCAUGUCAAAAUCAAUUUGGAAUAAUUAGAGGAAUGAGGCUAUGAAUAUCAAGAUACGCUAAUUUUACAGAAAAAUUCAUGAAUGAUAACAGCAUAUAGUCAUUACUCACAAUUUGCAUUGAGCUGACUCGGUGGAGAAGGAAUCCAUUAGCCAAUAAAAGGGUGCAAAUUACAAAGGAAGAAUUCAUAAGUUUUGUAACAGAUGUUAAGUAAAGCACAUAAACUGGGAUUCAAAGUGAAUACUUACCUGCUAUAGUGAGAAUUCCCAUUUAGAAAAAUUGAAUAAUGUUCUUUCUUAACUAGGCCAGGGUUUCCAAUGUAAGCAAGACUACCGUCAAUUGCAUUGGAAAAGAAAGUUCGAUCCUGUACUGACCAUACCAGUUACUACUACUGUUUGCUUCCAAUGUUCUGAUCAGCCAAUGCAAUUGAUUGUUUCUGUUGCCACUUAACGACCCCCUUCAGACAGAGUCCUUCAGCAUCAGAAAAGAAACAGAUAAGAGAAAGAUACUAAAGUCUAUAGCAAUGCUAGGACAAAGUAAAAGUGGCUAUGAACAGAUGCCUUAAUGAUAUCUGAUGUUAAGUUCAGCAAACAUGGAAAUAUUUUUAUGGACAAAUAAAUACAUACUUGCAGUAAUUGAGUAUCCAACACAUGAGCUUCUUUUGGUUUAUACAGCUCAAACUUUUUCAGCCAAUACUCUUCUGUCUCAUUCUUUGGCUUCCUGAAUAUGCUGCCUACUAUCCCUUUCCAAGGCCAAACAAACCUCUCUUCUGAGAUUGCCUGCUCAUUGUCCAUUUCCAACUGAUGUGUUACACUCGGGAAGGAAGACUGAUGGUCUCUUCACUUUAAGAGUUGAUGAUGCUAAACUCUAAUUUUUAAUAAGUGAAAUGAUGUGUUCGUAACUAAUAUUUUUCAUAAAUAAACAUUGGGAAAAUAUUAACGUUUACUCAUUUUAAAUGUGAGUCUUUAUUAUUCGAGUAAACUCAUUUUGAGAGUAGCAUAACAAGCAUCAUAUAAAUAUUAGUCCCGCUAAAUCGUAUACAACUCUCUUGAUAUGUAUAGUUUUGUAUAAUUGUAAAAAAGAUUAAAACUAAACUUUUUAUAUUUUAAUUCAAAUUUUAUGUAUAUUAUUAAACUUAUCCAUAUUUAGGCCUCGUUUGAAAGAGCUUAUUUGAGCUUAUCUGAUAGCAUAAGCUCUUAUGUCAGUGUUUGGGAGAGCUUAUGCAAACAGCUUAUAGUAGGCCAUAAGCUGUUUUGAGCUUAUUUUCAUAAGCUACUCAGGAUAGCUUAUAAAAAAGAGUUUAUGCUUAUAUAUAGCUUAUUUUUAAUUUUUUUAAAAUAACAUAUGAAUAAACUGUCAUAAGCGCUUAAUUAAACAUACCCUUAGUUAGACCCAAAUGUAGUAGUAGUAGUACUGGAAAAUUAACAUACCCUUUAGUUGUAAUGGAAAAUGAGACUUCUAAAUAAUAACUUCAUGCCUUUUUUAAAAUCAGUUUUCAUACAGUAAAAGAAAACAGUUUUCAUACCAAAACUUAUUCAGAAAUCUCCUCCCCUAAAUAUUGAGACACAUCUUAAAUCUGAGUUUCUGUGGCAAUCUAAGAAGUAAGAACCCUAUGUUCAACAAAAUACUCUUCCUUUCAAAAAAAAAAACUCUUGAAAAGAAAAACAAAUUACCAAUAAUAAAAAAUAUAAAAAGACACCAGGAUCUAACUUUGCAGCAAUUUGUGAACUGUAAGCCCAUGGUAAAGACUGAAGAGCAAUUUCUCAGCAGCAAUUAUAUCCAAAUAAUUAAAACUCAGUUUGUUAGAUGAUGUAUGGAUGGAAGAAAGAAAAGCAUCUCCAAAUGACCAGAGAAGCCUUUUCUUUUUUCCAGCCAUACACCUCUACCAAACAUUGCCUUACAAACCACUGAAGUACUGGUGUGUGUCACUGCAUGGUUCAAAGCAACAAUACAAGAUGGUAGGAUAAUUCUAAGUAAGAAACUAAAGGAUUUUGGAGAAGCUAAUGUAUUUGGAACAAGGUUGUAUGGACAGUGGAGUAUAAGCCGCAUAAGGAAGAAGUGUGUAGCUUCCACAACCCUAAUUUUCCUUCUCCUAAUCUUUACUAUAUAUAGUGGCUAAAGUUUGACUUCUGAUUCUAUGACAAUUCUACCCUUGCAUGAUGUUGAAGACCAUGGGUGAGGAUGAGUGGCUUUUUAGUCAUUUAGAGAAAUGGGUAUAUCUACCUUCACCAACAAUCUUAUAAAUUUAUCAAAUUUGGAUCAAGAUUGUGAUUAAAGCAUCAACAUCUAUUUUAUUUUAUAAUUAAUUACAAAAUUCAGAUUUUUUUUUUGACGGGCUAAAAUUCAGAAGUUACUCACCUAAGGGCCCGUUUGAUGCGACGUAUAGUAUAAGGCCUGAUAGUAUAAGGCCUGAUAGUAUUAUGCCUGAUAGUAUAAGCCCUGAUAACUUUCUUAUACUAUCCAGCGUUUGGACAUACACUGUAUAAUUUACCAUAUCGUUUAAAUUAAUGCAAUUUUAUGUUUAAUGAAGUAUUGAAUAAUGAUAUAAAAUAAAAAUCAAAUAUGGAGGUGAUUAUAACGGUGGUGGCGGUGGUGAUGGAAGUAGUGGUAGGUUGGUGGUGGUGGUGUCAAUGGUGGUAGGUUGGUGUUGGUGGCGGUGGCAGUGACAGUGGAGAUAGGUUGGUGGUGGUGGUGGCAGCGAUGGUGGUUGUGGUGGUGGUGAUGAUAGGGUGGUGGUUGUGGUGGUGGUGAUGAUAGGGUGGUGGUGGUGGUGGUAAGGUGGUGGCGGCUACAGUGGAGGGUGGAGGCAAUGGUGGUGGUGGUGGUGGUGGUGGCGAUAGGGUGGUGGUUGUGGUGGUGGUAGGGCGGCGGCGGUGGCGGCGGCGGCGGUGAUCGGAUGGUGGUGGUGGUGGUGCCAAUGGUGGUGUAAGUUGGCAGCAAUAGAGGGUGGUGGUGAUGGUGACUUAUACGUCACAACCUUAUCAUGCCUUAUCCAUCACUCACAUGAUGGAUUAAAUAAUACGUGAUUUUAACGUAUAAGGGGACUUUGAUGGAUAAGCUUAUACAAUACAAUGUCAUCACCAAACAAUGGAUAAACUCAUAAUGUAUUGUAUAAGCUUAUACUAUCAUGCCUAAUACGGCGUGCCAAACGAGCCCUAAGAUUUCCUUAAGAAUUGAUUCUUACUCGGAAGUUAAUUGUAGAAAGAUUUCCAUCAGUGUAAUUAAUAAAACAAUGUUACACACAAGGCGAUGAAGUGACUUUUAAUGAUGGGAUCUAACCAUGCAGUUAUUUUUAUUUCUGCAAGAUCCAAAUCUAACAAAUCUAAACACCCAUUAAAUUAUUUCACACAUUUUUAUUUUAUAUUAAUAUAUUUUAAAGUAAUGAAUUACUUACUAAUUACUAAUUUAGUACACUGAUUGCAAGAGCAACUCUUUACUUUGAUCUUGCCCUUUCUAGUUACAAGUGGCUGCAACUUUAUUUUGUGAAAAUGUUGUCUGCACAGAGAGCUGUGUAUUUGCAUUAGACAAUUAAGAUACCUUCUCAAGAUCAUAACAAUACUUGGAAGGAAUAAACUACAAAUCCUGCUGCUGGACAUGAAUCUUGAACAUAGUCAAGUUCUUAAACAUUACAAUACAUUCCAAAAUAUAGACUUAGUUGUCAAAAAUGGAUUUGAAAUGAAAAACUUGUUCUUGUUUGGGAAGCAGGCUGGGGAAAACUUCAGAUGAAAUUGGAACUUGAGGCAGCACAGAAGCACCAAUGCCAGAAAGAAUAAUUGGAUCUCCAACUGGAAAUAUUUACAUAACAUCUGUACCCUUCUGUUGGAGCACAUUUUUGAAAGCAACUUCACCAACUAAAUUUAUAUAGUAGGUUACCUGUAAUGGGAAGAUCAUAUGAAGAGUAAAUUUAGACAUUUGGCAUGAUUACUAAGAUCCGUUGUAUUUAACCAAUUAUGCCAUGCAUAAUAUGACUUAAAAAUUUCAUGCAACAUUCAUUUUGAUGUGCCGAGAAUAAAUAUAUAUAAAAAACAAUUUGGAAUAAGAGCAAUGAGGCAAUAAAUAUCCAAAUCCAUCAACUUUUGAUAAAAAAAAUCACAGAUGAUAACCGCACAGUUUGUUACCCACAAUUUGCAUUGAGCUGACUCGGUGAAGAAGGAAUCCAUUAGCCAAUUCUCUAGCAGGAUUCAAAUAUAAAGGAACGAUUCAUGAGUUUUGGUCACAGAUGUUGAGUAAAGCACAAAAACUGGGACUGAGUGAAUAUUUACCUGCUAUAGUGAGAGUUUCCAUUUAGAAAAAUUGAAUAAGGCUCUUUCUCAACUAGGCCAGGGUUCCCUAUGUAAGCAACACUACCAUCAUUGCCAUGGUUAGUGCAAUCCUGUCCACUCAGGUAUACAUUCUGAGGUGUAAAUACAAGGAUGAAUGUCAUAUCAGAGUCAGUGUAGUUAACAUGUCAAAACUUUAGCAUUUGAAAAUUUUCCAAACAUAAUAGCUGCUUUGCACUUACUACUGCAAAUUUCAGAAACAUACGGUGAAAAUACUCAAAAACUUGCUUCUUCUUCAUUUGCUCCUUAUUAUUCUCUCCACAGAUGAUAAGUGGUUGGUAUCCAACAACAAUGCGCCUGAAGUUACCAAAGAGACAAAGUGUUUAUCAAAAACUGGAAUUAUUUGUAUUGUCACAUGAACUUGAAAUAAUGCAGGUUGUUGAGAAAUCAUCAUGUUUUUAGCAUAAUCCUGUCAGAUUUUGAAAAAAUUGGGUUGGAAAAGGAAGUUUGAUUCCAUAGUGAUCAUACCAGUUACUACUGUUUGCUUCCAAUGUUCUGAUCAGCAAAUGCAAUUUAUUAUUUCUAUUGCCACUUAAUGAUCCCCUUAAGACAGAGUCCUUCAGCAUCAGAAAAGAAACAAAUUAGAGAAAGAUACUAAAGUCUAUUAUAAGUCUAUAUCAAUGAUAGGACAAAGUAAAAGUGGCUAUGAACAAAUGCCUUAAUGAUAUCUGAUGAUAGGUUCAGCAACCAUAGAAAUAUAUUUAUGAACACAUAAAUACAUACUUGCAGUAAUUGAGUAUCCACACCGAUAACGUCUAAGGUUUUCCCAUUAGAUAUCUUGAUCUUCUUUUCAAAGCAAACCGCUUCUUGUCCUUCUGAUUUUGAGGCUGCAGUAGUGUAGGUGUUGUACCUGCACACUAACUCUCUUCAUAACUAUCCCAUUUAGCAGAAUUGACAAAGGAUGGUGAUUUUCUCAAACAAUACAUUGGAAUUCAAGACUCUGCAGCCACAAAUUUCUGUGUCAUAUGUACCAAUACAGAUAACAGAUUGCUCAGAGGAUUGUAUACCAGGGAAUUCUCAAUGAUGGAAAAUGUUGAGUAGCCUGUAAAAGAAAUAUACCAUGACUCUUAAUUGAAAACAAUGAAACAAUUUGCCAUUGCAAUAAAACCAAAAGCAACCAUAACCAUAGUUUCAAAUUAUGGACCUUAUCACACAACCGCGACAGCAUUUGCAAUUUGAAAUCUGAAGAAACCUCUCAAAUUGCAUGCCACUACAUAAGAAAUCUAUUUCUACAAACAGCAAAAAGCUAGAAAGGUCACAGAAAAAAAUUAUAUAAACAAAAGAACAUACAUUCUGCAUGAGAGGAUCAUCUUCCCCAAGCUCACUGCUGCUCACAACAAAACUUGCCUUGUAAAUUCUGGCCACCUUCUCCAUCUUCAUGAACACCAGGAAGUAAGAGAGAGGUCAGAAAGGUGAGCAGAAUGAAAAAAAGUUAAAGCAACCAACCAAGUACACUGAAGAAACUAAAGCAUGUUAAUUAAGGAAAAGAAAAACAGAAAAAGAUCCAAAUAUAUGCUUCAUUCAUCCUGUCUUGGGCCAUUCCUUCCAAACAAAUAAAAGGGAAGCAAGAAAAUGUUGGAACAAUGCAACUUCAAAUUUCCAAAGCAUAAACAAAAUUGGGUUGAACAUGAAAAUCCACCAUUGACAAACACCCAUUAAGAAGAAAAUCAUGAAAAACAUCCAACAAACUGUUAAAAUGCUAGCUUAGUGAAGAGAGAGCUAAUAAUCUACCUGCUUGAGAAGAUGGAAUUGCUGGAAAUGGGGUCUGAAACCCCCUCUGACACUGAUGAAGUAGAGAUCAAAAGGUUCAUGGCCACUUGCAUUUGUUUUGACCAAUUUCUGAGGUUGACC